UGGGGAAUCUUCCGCAAUGGACGAAAGUCUGACGGAGCAACGCCGCGUGAGUGAAGAAGGUUUUCGGAUCGUAAAGCUCUGUCUUUUGGGACGAAUGUGCUUCUUGUGAAUAAUGAGAGGUAAUGACGGUACCGAAGAAGGAAGCCACGGCUAACUACGUGCCAGCAGCCGCGGUAAUACGUAGGUGGCAAGCGUUGUCCGGAAUUAUUGGGCGUAAAGCGCGCGCAGGCGGAAUAAUAAGUCUGUCGUGAAAGUGCGGGGCUCAACCCCGUGAUUGCAAUGGAAACUGUUAUUCUUGAGUGCAGGAGAGGAAAGUGGAAUUCCUAGUGUAGCGGUGAAAUGCGUAGAUAUUAGGAGGAACACCAGUGGCGAAGGCGACUUUCUGGACUGUGUCUGACGCUGAGGCGCGAAAGCCAGGGUAGUGAACGGG
This 430-nucleotide ribosomal RNA is filed under the name uncultured bacterium. RNAcentral's name for it is "bacterial SSU rRNA". It matches the Rfam family "Bacterial small subunit ribosomal RNA", at positions 355 to 776 of the family's 1533-position model. The record is from RNAcentral.